CCUACGGGGGGCAGCAGUGAGGAAUAUUGGUCAAUGGACGAGAGUCUGAACCAGCCAAGUAGCGUGAAGGAUGACUGCCCUAUGGGUUGUAAACUUCUUUUAUAAAGGAAUAAAAUGAGGCACGUGUGCAUUUUUGCAUGUACUUUAUGAAUAGAGAUAGGAUAACUCCGUGCCAGCAGCCGCGGUAAUACGGAGGAUCCGAGCGUUAUCCGGAUGGAUUGGGUUUAAAGGGAGCGUAGAUGGGUUGUUAAGUCAGUUGUGAAAGUUUGCGGCUCAACCGUAAAAUUGCAAUUGAUACUGGCAGUCUUGAGUACAUUUGAGGGAGGCGGAAUUCGAGGUGUAGCGGUGAAAUGCGUAGAGAUGACGAAGAACCCCGAUUGCGAAGGCAGCUUACUAAACUUGUACUGACACUGAUGCGCGAAAGUGUGGGUAUCAAACAGGAUUAGAUACCCUUGUAGUC
This 460-nucleotide ribosomal RNA is filed under the name uncultured bacterium. Its description in RNAcentral is "partial 16S ribosomal RNA". It matches the Rfam family "Bacterial small subunit ribosomal RNA", at positions 338 to 795 of the family's 1533-position model. The record is from RNAcentral.